RNAcentral lists this long non-coding RNA (1741 nucleotides) under Gossypium barbadense (sea-island cotton). RNAcentral's name for it is "long non-coding RNA (GBAR_LNC005755)". Lineage: Eukaryota; Viridiplantae; Streptophyta; Magnoliopsida; Malvales; Malvaceae. The record is from RNAcentral.
GAAUAGAUCACAAAUGAUAAUUUUACCCUUAAAUAUAAAUAUUUUACUUACAUUAUUAAUACAAUAUAAAAUUUUAAAUAAAUUAAAUAAUUAUUGACAUAAUUUAGCUAUAGAAUAUUUAGUUAACAUCUACACUUAAUGAGCUUGAUUAAUUUUUUUUUAUUUUACUCUAUUUUCACUUUUUUUCUCUCUCUCUCAAUGCUCUCUCUCUAAAAGAAAAUAUGAACAUUUAUCAUCUACUUCAGAAUCCAACCGGUAGCCAUCGUACGACACCAUACUGGCCGUCGUAUGCCGCUGCUAGCUGGUGUCCUUUCCUUCUCAAAUGUUUAGAUUUGAUUAAUUUCUACCUUCUUUUUUUUCAAUUCUUUCAUCGGGUUUCUCUAAAUCAAAACUUUCCAGGCUGAUUUCGUCAUCUUCCGUCGCUCCAACAACCACCUUUUUCCUAAUAUGUUUUUCUCUAUUCUUCGUUCUCCCCUCUCCAAGUUACAAGCCACAAAACCCCAUUUUCUAUUUCAUCUUAAAAUCUCUUUUUCUCUAUCUGUUCUUAUUUUGUUACGAUAGAUGAUAUAAUACUUUUCAAAAGAACAAAAAAAAGUUUUGAGAUAUUUUUUUUUACCCAAAAAAGAUGUUUUUCUCUAUUCGGUAUAAUAAUGAAUGACUUUUACAGGAGAAGUUGUGAUAAGAGAUGAAUAGUGAUUUCACGAAACGAGUGAUUCGAUGAACCAAACAUUGAAUCAGCUUGAAAUGGUUCCACUAUUCAUGCCAACCAAACAUGCUCUAAGAACAUUAGAUAAGAGAACCAAGUUGCAAGGUUGAAGAAAUAUUUCAAAAAAAUGCACAAAUUCAUAUUAGAUUCUUAUCUGAAAAAAGAUGGUCAAAUUUUAUCAUUAGUUUGGUGUAGAUUUAAUUUAUGUACUCUAUUUUGGUCAACUUCAGUUUUGAUAUUUUUUUUUACAAUUUGAAAAUUUAAUAAUAGCUAAAUAAUAGCUAUUAAAUUUAUCAAGUUAAAUUAUACUAUGUUUAAAAUUUUAUGUGGUCAACAUAUUAUCUUAUGUUUAAUUCAUGUUAAGUUGCUAAUUUUACAUAAUACUUACAAAAAAGUCACGACUAAAAAUGAUCAAUUUGGACAAAAGUGACUAAACUCACAACUUGUUCAUAGUACUAGAUUAAUAAUAAAAUUUAACAUAAUGAAAUUAGUACUAGAUUAAUAAUAGAAUUUAACCUAAUAAAAUUAACUGUUAGUGUUUAAAUUAAAAUUAACCAAAUUAAUGUAUAUAUGCAAAAUCUGCAACUUAAGCAUAAUUCAAAUACUAACAACAAUGCUUCAAAGAAAAAAAAAUACUGUUAUGAAUCAUCAUCUUAGCUUAGACGUGAAAAAGAUGGCAUUCAUAGAGUUUGAAACUUAAAAGUUUCAAACAUCUAAAAAAAUACCUGCAACACCUUCUUUUAUCCCUAUGAAAAUAUGGGGAAGAUGAGAUUGGAGACAAGUUGAUGACUUUUGCUGGGUUAUGAAUCUAGCUCUCCCUUACUCUCUUGAAGACAUAUUUUCACAAGGAAAAUAUGAAAAAUGGAGCAAGAGAGAAACUAGAUUCAGAAGCCAAUCAAAGUUCAUAUUUCAGAGAUUGAGAAAAAAUAUAAAAGAAGAAAGGAAAAGGGAAACUAAGAGGCUAUUAUUUGGCAAUGCUCAUAUAUUUCUCUUCUAGGCUUUAGGAAGGGGAAUAUGCGAGAGGCAAGCAGCUAU